Molecule: non-coding RNA, 45 nt
Filed under: Schistosoma bovis
Lineage: Eukaryota; Metazoa; Platyhelminthes; Trematoda; Strigeidida; Schistosomatidae
Also listed under: 1 other name
Source: RNAcentral
AUCCAUCUGACAAGUCCCAAAUCGAACGAAAUCCACGUCCUGGAU